UUUAGUUUGACGUCCCGAAACUACGUGAGCUACUCUAAGACAGCCUAUUAAUAGGGCAUACCCGUCUCUGUGGCAAAAGGGUGGGGAGAGCUUUGAGUAGAGGUGACAAACCUACCGAACCUAGUUAUAGCUGGUUGUCCAAGAAAUGAAUAGAAGUUCAGCCUCUUGGCUUCUUUGUUCACACUAGUCUAACCCCUAAAUUGAUGCGUAAAGAAACCAACAGAGUUAGUCAAAGGGGGUACAGCCCCUUUGAAUCAAGACACAACUUUACUAGGAGGGUAAAGAUCAUAAUAACUAAAGCUAGAUGUUCCGGUGGGCCUAAAAGCAGCCAUCCCUUUAGAAAGCGUUAAAGCUCGAACAUAUACCCGCCCCUUCUUAUUCUGAUCCCCUUAUCUUACCCCCCUAAACGUACUGGACCAUCCCAUGCCCCCAUGGGAGUGACUAUGCUAAUAUGAGUAAUAAGAGGGCCAAAGGCUCUCUCCCUGCACACGUGUACAUCGGAACGGACACUCCACCGACAAUUAACGGCCCCAAACAAAGAGGGCAUUGGACAACAAACCAAACAACCAGAAAAGCCUCCAACAACAAACCGUUAACCCCACACAGGUGUGCCCACAGGGAAAGACUGAAAGAAAGAGAAGGAACUCGGCAAACACAAGCCUCGCCUGUUUACCAAAAACAUCGCCUCUUGUAUAAUUAAAAAUAAGAGGUCCCGCCUGCCCUGUGACUAUUUGUUUAACGGCCGCGGUAUUUUGACCGUGCGAAGGUAGCGCAAUCACUUGUCUUUUAAAUGAAGACCCGUAUGAAUGGCAUAACGAGGGCUUAGCUGUCUCCUCUUUCCGGUCAAUGAACUUGAUCUCCCCGUGCAGAAGCGGGGAUAUAACCAUAAGACGAGAAGACCCUAUGGAGCUUUAGACACGAAAGCAGCCCACGUUAAGCACCCCGAACAAGGGACUAAACCAAGUGGGCCCUGCCCUAAUGUCUUUGGUUGGGGCGACCGCGGGGAAUUAAAGAACCCCCACGUGGAACGGGAACACUUUUCCUACAACCAAGAGCUACAGCUCUAGAAAACAGAAAUUCUGACCAACAAGAUCCGGCAAUGCCGAUCAACGGACCGAGUUACCCUAGGGAUAACAGCGCAAUCCUCUUUUAGAGCCCAUAUCGACAAGGGGGUUUACGACCUCGAUGUUGGAUCAGGACAUCCUAAUGGUGCAGCCGC
Molecule: ribosomal RNA, 1219 nt
Filed under: Cottus pollux (Japanese fluvial sculpin)
Lineage: Eukaryota; Metazoa; Chordata; Actinopteri; Perciformes; Cottidae
Description: partial 16S ribosomal RNA
Rfam family: Bacterial large subunit ribosomal RNA
Source: RNAcentral